RNAcentral lists this long non-coding RNA (767 nucleotides) under Dasypus novemcinctus (nine-banded armadillo). RNAcentral describes it as "lncRNA (ENSDNOG00000052527.1)". The record is from RNAcentral. Lineage: Eukaryota; Metazoa; Chordata; Mammalia; Cingulata; Dasypodidae.
GCCGCCGCCGCAGCCUCCCCCUCCGCGCUGGGGGAACUUUUCUACUCUCUGUGACCGUCUCCUCCAACGCCUUCCCACCCUCCACCCCCAGGGCAAGCCUCUGCCCCGUUUGCCCGCCCCUCCCUCGCCUGUCUUCCCAGCCCGAGCCUCUGCGCCUCGGGAAGUUUAUUCCGCCCGCCCUCCUCCCCUUCCUCCUCCUCCUCCUCCUCCUCUUCACCCCGCCUCCCCUCCCUCCGCCGUCUCUUUCCCCGGGGUGGCUGCCGCUGCUGCCUCUGUCGCUGCAAGCCUGCUCCUUGGCUAGCCGCGGCGGGCGGAGGGCUGGGAAGAGCCCCUAGCCCCACGCACCCCUCAGCUGCAGCUGCCGCUCGGGCUCCGGCCGCCCGCCCUUGGCCCCGCAGAGUUCCGGGCUCCCUCGCCGGCUGCACCGCCCCGCCCCGCGCGGACCUGCAGCGCCCGGCUGGCUGGUUCUCCGCCUUCCCCGGCUCAGCUCCCGGCCGCCGCGGGACCAGAGCCCUGAGUUCCUUGGGAGCCUUGCAUCGCCUUGGUGAGAACUGCUGGAGAACGCCUUAUAUUCCUGGAGACUCUGGGAAAACCCUCUUUCACUCUCCAAGUCUCUGAGUGAAGAGCACGUGAAGCUCCAAACAAGGGCACACUACUUGAAGGACUGUGAAGAUAUGACCUGGAGUCAGCUUUAAGGUAGCUGAGUUAGCUCUUACCCAGGAGCUCCCAGAGGCAAUAGAGCUAUUUCAGCAAACCACUUCUUUUAA